This 22-nucleotide small nuclear RNA is filed under the name Arabidopsis thaliana (thale cress). Its description in RNAcentral is "snRNA_11275". Lineage: Eukaryota; Viridiplantae; Streptophyta; Magnoliopsida; Brassicales; Brassicaceae. The record is from RNAcentral.
UAAAAGUUUUUUUGUUUGGAGA